Molecule: long non-coding RNA, 1301 nt
Organism: Ctenopharyngodon idella (grass carp)
Lineage: Eukaryota; Metazoa; Chordata; Actinopteri; Cypriniformes; Xenocyprididae
Exons: 3
Source: RefSeq, a predicted model, not a curated record
GAUAUCAUUUCCUGGUUUUCUUGUCAUAUGACAACAAGCAUGUUGCUUUUACCCCACUAGCCCCUGCUGGUAGACGCUGUAACUACACAAUCUGCUUCUGAAAAGCAGCUUGAUUGACGGCCAUUCAAAAGCAGCAUAUUCUUAUGAAAUAAUUUUAACAUAUAAAGUGCUAAUAUAUCAUUAUAUUAUAGUAGAUGUUACCAGUGCCUGAUUCUUUUUAGAGGCUUUUAAAAAUGCAGAAUGGACUUGUACUUUUCCACGACUGCUGCCGUUGACGUCACAGCUUCAGCAUAGUCACUGAAGGCCGUGGGACUGUGUGUGUUGUUGUGGUGCCAUCAGCCAAUCAACGAUGUCAUGAUGUCAUUUGCGUGCAGUUCGACAGUGACAUGAUUGACAAUUUGAGAUAAAUAAGAAUGCUAAUGGAUAUAACUCUCUCCAGAGAAAGAGGACCAACACAAUGCCGCCUCUUACAUGAACAACCUAUGCACAGCUCUUCACACUUUUAUAUUCACUCAACACCCUUAUGGACUGUGCUGCUCUAAUGUAAAGAAGUUUCCAAGGAACAACUGUGGCCUGGAUGUUGAUCAGUAGAGCUGUUUCAACGCAUCCCAAAACAACGCUGUCUACCUAAGAUGGGAUGAAUGGAUGAGCAAGAUCGGUCUAUAGGAAUAGAUCCAAAGAGGCUUGGAUGAGCUUUGCAGGGAGGUGAUGGAACUAGACUGGUUUAAAUCCCGGGAUCAGCCAUUCAGUGACUCCGACUUUCUACAAAUUUGCUUCUGCUUUAGGUCACAGUGCCUGAUUAGAGUGCCCUCUGCUCCAGCACCAAUGCAUUUAACAUUAGACUAAACGUUAUUAUGUUUUAGCAGUGACCAGAACAACAGAAAGUAAUUUUUAUGCUGGAAAAUAGGAAUUUAUUGCCAUAACAAGAUUUCAGUCAAAUUAAACAUACUGAAUAAAGAGUCAAAAUAUAUCAUUAUAUUGCUGUUUUGAAUAAAGUUUGCUAAAUGCUUUUCUUUAUGCAUUAUAUGAGUCCAAGUGUGUAACUUUAUUUCUGUUUUGAAUAUUAAGUUUGAUAGAUGAUCUAUUAUUAUUUAUUGUGGCUAAAAAUAUAAAAGUUUGAUAAGUUUGUAACUUUGAUGUAUCAUAAAUGACCCAUUAUUAAUUAUUGUUGCUAAAAAACAAGUUAAAUUUAUGUUAAAUUAACAUUUAAAUUUACGUAUUGUGCACAAUACUACUGUUUGCUGUAAUUGUACUGACUACAGAGUUGAUGAUGAAAUGCAAAAUACAACGUCAUAUUUUCA